GAACUUGACAAUGCAGCAACGCUUCUACUGAUUGUGAGAAAUCGUGCUUCGAUUUAGAAACAGCAACUGUUGAAGCGAUAACAGAGAGAGAAA
Molecule: long non-coding RNA, 93 nt
Organism: Frieseomelitta varia
Lineage: Eukaryota; Metazoa; Arthropoda; Insecta; Hymenoptera; Apidae
Exons: 3
Source: RefSeq, a predicted model, not a curated record